CACCUUCCAGCCCAGUCCAGCUCCAAGCACCGCAGUGUCUUGGAACAAAAACAACUACCAAUGUGAAAGCUGAAGAUAAAAAUAAACACAAGUUCUUCUCUUCCGUCACAGGCUCAGUUGAAAUAUAAACCCAGUCCCAAGCAGAGAGGAGAUAAUCUUAGAUGUUGCCGCCAACUUGUUUACUUCCUUACUGUCAGAUGAUAAACGCUGGCAAGCCUUCAUCUCCUGUUUUACUCCUGAAAAUGCUGUUUUCCAGAGUUUGUCCUGUCAAAGUCAUGCUAAAGUGGACAUCAGCUAAGCACAAAUUCAAAGCAGGAAUAUCCCUGUCUUCCCAGACAAUACUGUGUGCUGUCCUCAGAAGAAUUUCUUUGAAGUCGAGAUGUCUUGAGCACAAAAUCUAUGAAUAGAUACUGAAGAAGGUGACUUGCGACAGCUGUGAGAUGUAUAAAGGGUGAUUUGCCCACUCAAUGAGAGCAGCAAAAUUGGAUUCAUUUUAUUUCCAUGCCAAAGACUCAUAGCCAUGUCUCCAUAUGUCCGUAAUUUUUUUUGUCUGUAAAAUUACUUUCCUACAAUAAGUAGGAAAGGUUCUGUAGGUCAAGGUUUAGAGACAUUCAUAGAAAGCAGAAGGAAAAUGUAGUAGCUGUAGCUUUGUCAUUGAGUUAUUUGUGAUAAGUCUAUAUGAACAUCCAGGUAUGAGAGAAAAUGACAGAUUUUAAAGCAAUCCUUUAGCUUAUUACCAAAAGCAAAAGCAGCUUUAAUUUAAGCUUCCACUUAGACAUCAUACCCACACUGUAAUUUCAAAUAAACAACAUUUAAAACUGCAGCUAACAAGA
Long non-coding RNA from Pseudopipra pipra, 833 nucleotides. RefSeq lists it as uncharacterized. The transcript has 2 exons. The record is from RefSeq and is a predicted model, not a curated record. NCBI's taxonomy places the organism in Eukaryota, Metazoa, Chordata, Aves, Passeriformes, Pipridae.